AUCGCUUCUCGGCCUUCUGGCUAAGAUCAAGUGUGGUAUCUGUUCUUAUCCCUUUAAAAUAUUUGAAGAUAACGCCCUAAGCUAAGUGAAGCCAAU
This 96-nucleotide small nuclear RNA is filed under the name Bos grunniens (domestic yak). Its description in RNAcentral is "U2 spliceosomal RNA (ENSBGRG00000016019.1)". It matches the Rfam family "U2 spliceosomal RNA". Rfam says of the family: U2 is a small nuclear RNA (snRNA) component of the spliceosome (involved in pre-mRNA splicing). The record is from Rfam by way of RNAcentral. Lineage: Eukaryota; Metazoa; Chordata; Mammalia; Artiodactyla; Bovidae. RNAcentral also lists the same sequence under 2 other names.